UACGUAGGGGGCAAGCGUUGUCCGGAUUUACUGGGUGUAAAGGGCGCGCAGGCGGGUUUGAAAGUCAGGGGUGAAAGCCUACAGCUUAACUGUAGAAUUGCCUUUGAUACUUUAAACCUUGAGUACGGAAGAGAGAGACGGAAUUCCAGGUGUAGUGGUGAAAUACGUAGAUAUCUGGAAGAACACCAGUUGCGAAGGCG
Molecule: ribosomal RNA, 200 nt
Filed under: uncultured bacterium
Lineage: Bacteria
Description: partial 16S ribosomal RNA
Rfam family: Bacterial small subunit ribosomal RNA
Source: RNAcentral